GCGUCCGUAGCUCAAUGGAUAGAGUUUCGGACUUCGGAUCCGACGGUUAUAGGUUCGAGUCCUAUCGGGCGCACCA
This 76-nucleotide transfer RNA is filed under the name Sulfurimonas sp. Its description in RNAcentral is "tRNA-Arg". It matches the Rfam family "tRNA". From Rfam's summary of the family: Transfer RNA (tRNA) molecules are approximately 80 nucleotides in length. Lineage: Bacteria; Pseudomonadati; Campylobacterota; Epsilonproteobacteria; Campylobacterales; Sulfurimonadaceae. RNAcentral also lists the same sequence under 1 other name. The record is from RNAcentral.